UGAGCUGCAUUUAUUUGUGGUCAGUAUUGAACGUGGAUAUAAUUUCUAGAUUCUGUACAUUGUCUUGUAUAGCAGAGGGCAAGAGAUCAUGCUAACUCAUAUGCAGAAGUUGUAGACCUGUUUACAAAUCUUGAGACUUGUAAAUUUGUGUUAAAUCUACAUAUGAUAUAUAUGCCACAGGGAAAGAUCUCAUUUUGGAAGGUUUCAAUCAAUUGCAAAUUCUUUGUUUAGCUCAUGCACACUUGAAGAUACUGUAGACUGCAUUAAAUUUGCUGGCUCAUUUCCACUUCCUUUUUUUGCGUGAUUUCCUUCACAAGGCAGCUAUGGAGCUUCAGGAAGAGAAAAUGUUGGAAGAUUAUCCUCCACAUAGUACUUCAUGAGAGAUUGCAAGAUGCAAGAUAAUAGUGGAUGCACAGCUGCAUUGUUUUCCCUGCAAAAUUAUUCAAUUGAGUAGAAAGCAUGUCCUGGGAGCUAUCAACUUUGCUCCAAGUGAAAGAUAAAAAAAGUGCGUUGGAGGUCGAUAUCAUGCCCUUUUAUUAGCUCCUUAUGGGAUUAUGACUGCUAAAUUUUGGGUUCAAGCUGUAAGCCUGAACAGAAAUAGAGAUAAGUUUACAUCACCCACUCAAGCUUUGAGCCUCGAGUUCUCAUCAUGUUGCCAGCAUCCUUCAGCUAAAGCUGAUUAGAGGACCAAGAAAUGUCACUUUGCAAUUGGAAUCAUCAGAUGAUGGAAGAGAAUUAGCGAGUUCAAUAAGGAAGAGUAAACAAAACUAGUGAUAACCGUUGCUUGUGAAACUUGAGGUUUGAAUUCCCGUUUUGAAAGCAUCCUUCAAUUAAAGAUUGAUCGAAUGAACAAUUGAACUAGCUUUGCAAUUAGAACCAUUAGAAGAUGGAACAGGACUUCGUCCAAAGUGCACAAGCAGCUUUCCUUGUUAAAGUUGUUGCAUAUAUUGUUAGAUAUGAGAAGGAUGUGAAGUAAUUCAAUUUUUGCAAUAUUUCAGGAAAAUCUUGAUUAUGGAAUUCUAUGCUAUAUGUUGCUAAACUUUAUUGCUUCCUACCUAAUGAUAUGAGUUGUAAAAUACAUAUUACACAUA
This is a long non-coding RNA of Hevea brasiliensis (rubber tree), 1091 nucleotides long. RefSeq lists it as uncharacterized. The transcript has 4 exons. Lineage: Eukaryota; Viridiplantae; Streptophyta; Magnoliopsida; Malpighiales; Euphorbiaceae. The record is from RefSeq and is a predicted model, not a curated record.